CUCAUAAAUAUCUAAUGUGAAACACCUAAUCUUCAUAUUGGAUUUCAUAAAUAUGUAACAUGGGAUACCCAAUCUUCAGACUAGACCUCACAGAUAUCCUAUAAGAUAUGAUUGAUCUAUAGGUUAAGCUUUAUAAUUAUCCAUUCGAGAAGGCUUAAGUUCUGACUUAAACUCUAAGGUGAUGUGCUCUAGAAAAGGGAAGAGAUAAAGCAUCUCAAGAUAGAACUUCUAAUGCAUGGGGGACUCAAUCUACCCAUAAUGAUAUCAGAUAGAGGUAUUUCUUAAACCUUAAUUACAUUCAAUUUAUUAAGAUCGAUCUGUCCUUAAUUAACUAAUCUAGUUCUUAAAGUCAUUAUUUCUUAUAUUAUGAGGUUUACUUAUUAUAUUAAGCCAUAUCAGCUUCAUGAUUGAUCCAAUCAAGAUCAAAUGGUGUUUAUUAUAUAAUUAUCUAAGUCCUAUAUAGGAUCAGUAAAUUCAUAUCAGAUUAUGAGAGGUCAGCAAGAUUUAUAUAUAAAAAAA
RNAcentral lists this long non-coding RNA (519 nucleotides) under Elaeis guineensis (African oil palm). Its description in RNAcentral is "long non-coding RNA (EGUI_LNC031197)". The record is from RNAcentral. Lineage: Eukaryota; Viridiplantae; Streptophyta; Magnoliopsida; Arecales; Arecaceae.